This 1204-nucleotide long non-coding RNA is filed under the name Mus musculus (house mouse). RNAcentral's name for it is "predicted gene, 50446". Lineage: Eukaryota; Metazoa; Chordata; Mammalia; Rodentia; Muridae. The record is from RNAcentral.
ACUCUUGGGAAUAUACUCAAAAGAUGCUCCACCAUGCCACAGGAGAAGGUGUUCCACUAUGUUAAUAGCAGCCUUAUUUGUGAUAACCAGAAGCUGGAAACAACCUAGAUGUUCCAUAACAGAAGAAUGGAUACAGAAAAUGUGGUUCAUUUACACAAUGGAACACUACUUAAUUAUUACAAAUGAGGACAUCCUGAGUUUUGCAGGCAAAACUAGAAACUAUCAUCCUGAGUGAGAUGACUCAGACUCAAAAAGACAUGCAUGGGAUGGAAAUGGAGAGGAGCCUGAGGAAAAGAAGGUCCAGCUACGGGCCCAAAAUGGGAUCCAGAUCAAGGGGAUGUCCCAAACCUGACACUAUUACCGAGGCUAUGGAGUGCUCACAAAAAGGGAUCUAUCAUGACUGCUCUUCGAAAGACCCAACAAGCAACUGAAAGAGUCAGAUGAAGAUAUUUGCACCCAACCAAUGGACAGAAACCAAUGACCCCUGUUGUUGAAUUAGGUACAUGGAAAGCAUCUGGAUAUAACAACACCUAUUCGGAUUUUGUCCUUAUACCACAGUAAGGGUAUUCUCAGCCUCAUAAAAGAAGCCUUUUUAUCCCGAUGAUGGAGUUUCAACAUUUCUUUGGAGACUCAGUUGUGUCUUGUGAUGUUUUUCUGGAAGCUGCCUGGAAAAGAAGGAUGUGAUGUUGGGAAAUAUAACCCAACAGACAAGAAUGGAGAGGACACAUUCAUGUAUCCGCACGUAUGGAAAACUCAUCUUUUGAGCAUGUGAGGUUCCCAACAGGAACAUGUAUGACUCAAAGUCAGCAGCCUCACCAGGAAGUCCACCCAUGUAUGAAUGAUUACUCAUGAAAACUGUUUUCGAGAUGCUUCAUGCACAAGACUAAGCUCUAUGACCUGGAAUGUCUCCUCUCAACCACAACUGUUACUGACAAUAUAUCCUAAGAGGGGAGAUUUAAAAAAAAAUCUUGUAAGUUUCAGGAACUUCAUUAAUCUUAAGGAACUUCCCUCUAGUAUAGAAUGCUUCCAUUCAGAGGAGAUUGCUACACAACAAAGAAUAAUUUAAAAGUAAGAACAAAGGGAUAAAGAGACAAAAGGACAAAUGAUUGUUCAGUGUUUGUGGUAGCAGUAUCAUUGAGAUAUUAUAAUAAAUAGCAACAUACCUAAAGCAUAAAAGAAAUAAAACAUUGACAGAUGUAAUUUA